Molecule: ribosomal RNA, 813 nt
Filed under: uncultured bacterium
Lineage: Bacteria
Description: bacterial SSU rRNA
Rfam family: Bacterial small subunit ribosomal RNA
Source: RNAcentral
AACGCUGGCGGCAUGCCUAAUACAUGCCAGUCGAACGAAGAUGGUAACAUCUUAGUGGCAAACGGGUGAGUAACACGUGGGAAUCUGCCCUUUGGUGGGGGAUAACUGAGGGAAACUUCAGCUAAUACCGCAUAGUCUUGGAAACAAGUAAAGAUUUAUUGCCAAAGGAUGAGCCCGCGUCAGAUUAGGUAGUUGGUAGGGUAAAGGCCUACCAAGCCGAUGAUCUGUAGCUGAUUUGAGAGGAUGAUCAGCCACACUGGGAUUGAGAUACGGCCCAGACUCCUACGGGAGGCAGCAGUAAGGAAUAUUGGACAAUGGGGGAAACCCUGAUCCAGCAAUGCCGCGUGAAUGAAGAAGGCCUUCGGGUUGUAAAGUUCUUUCGCUUACGAUGAUAAUGACAGUAGUAAGAUAAGAAGGUCCGGCUAACUCUGUGCCAGCAGCCGCGGUGAGACAGAGGGACCUAGCGUUGUUCGGAAUAACUGGGCGUAAAGGGUGCGUAGGUGGCUACUUAAGUAAAGUGUUAAAUCCUUGGGCUCAACCCAAGAACCGCAUUUUAAACUGGGUGGCUUGAGUGUGGGAAAGGAAAGUGGAAUUCCUAGUGUAGAGGUGGAAUUCGUAGAUAUUAGGAGGAACACCAGAGGCGAAGGCGGCUUUCUAGAACACAACUGACACUGAGGCACGAAAGCGUGGGGAGCAAACAGGAUUAGAUACCCUGGUAGUCCACGCCCUAAACGAUGAGUGCUAGACGUUGGGAUUUUAUUUCCAGUGUCGCAGCUAACGCGUUAAAGCACUCCGCCUGAGGAUUACGGUCGC